This 254-nucleotide ribosomal RNA is filed under the name uncultured bacterium. RNAcentral's name for it is "partial 16S ribosomal RNA". It matches the Rfam family "Bacterial small subunit ribosomal RNA", at positions 524 to 776 of the family's 1533-position model. The record is from RNAcentral.
UACGAAGGGGGCUAGCGUUGCUCGGAAUUACUGGGCGUAAAGCGCGCGUAGGCGGGUCGGUAAGUCGGGUGUGAAAACUCUGGGCUCAACCCAGAGAUGCCACCCGAUACUGCUGUGACUCGAGUGCGGUAGGGGAGCGGGGAAUUCCUGGUGUAGCGGUGAAAUGCGCAGAUAUCAGGAGGAACACCAGUGGCGAAGGCGACUACCUGGCCUGUUCUUGACGCUGAGGCGCGAAAGCUAGGGGAGCAAACGGG